AAACGACUCUCGGCAACGGAUAUCUCGGCUCACGCAUCGAUGAAGAACGUAGCAAAAUGCGAUACUUGGUGUGAAUUGCAGAAUCCCGUGAACCAUCGAGUUUUUGAACGCCAGUUGCGCCCAAAGCCAUCCGGUUGAGGGCACGCCUGCCUGGGCGUCACGC
This 163-nucleotide ribosomal RNA is filed under the name Crepis jacquinii. RNAcentral's name for it is "5.8S ribosomal RNA". It matches the Rfam family "5.8S ribosomal RNA". From Rfam's summary of the family: 5.8S ribosomal RNA (5.8S rRNA) is a component of the large subunit of the eukaryotic ribosome. It is transcribed by RNA polymerase I as part of the 45S precursor that also contains 18S and 28S rRNA. Functionally, it is thought that 5.8S rRNA may be involved in ribosome translocation. Lineage: Eukaryota; Viridiplantae; Streptophyta; Magnoliopsida; Asterales; Asteraceae. The record is from RNAcentral.